This 300-nucleotide unclassified non-coding RNA is filed under the name Hevea brasiliensis (rubber tree). Lineage: Eukaryota; Viridiplantae; Streptophyta; Magnoliopsida; Malpighiales; Euphorbiaceae. The record is from RNAcentral.
GUUCGAAGUAUUAUUGACAAAGAAAAGCAGCGACAGUUCAAAAGCCUUGAACUUAUUGCCUCAGAGAAUUUUACGUCUCGGGCAGUUAUGGAGGCAGUGGGGUCCUGUCUGACAAACAAAUAUUCAGAAGGAUUACCUGGAAAAAGGUACUAUGGUGGCAAUGAACAUAUCGAUGAGCUUGAAACACUCUGUCAACAAAGGGCUCUAGCAGCAUUUCAUUUGGACAGUAACAAGUGGGGUGUAAAUGUUCAACCAUUAUCUGGUUCACCUGCUAACUUUGAGGUUUAUACUGCAAUUCUU